RNAcentral lists this ribosomal RNA (440 nucleotides) under uncultured bacterium. RNAcentral describes it as "partial 16S ribosomal RNA". It matches the Rfam family "Bacterial small subunit ribosomal RNA", at positions 339 to 795 of the family's 1533-position model. The record is from RNAcentral.
CUCCGGGUUGCAGCAGUGAGGAAUAUUGCACAAUGGGGGGAACCCUGAUGCAGCAACGCCGCGUGGAGGAUGACGCAUUUCGGUGUGUAAACUCCUUUUAUAUGUCAAGAAAAUGACGGUAGCAUAUGAAUAAGCGCCGGCUAACUCCGUGCCAGCAGCCGCGGUAAUACGGGAGGGCGCAAGCGUUACUCGGAAUCACUGGGCGUAAAGGACGCGUAGGCGGGUUGAAAAGUCAGGUGUGAAAGCCUACAGCUUAACUGUAGAACUGCACUUGAAACUCUCAAUCUAGAGUAUGGGAGGGGCAGAUGGAAUUAGUGGUGUAGGGGUAAAAUCCGUAGAUAUCACUAGGAAUACCUAAAGCGAAGGCGAUCUGCUGGAACAUUACUGACGCUAAGGCGUGAAAGCGUGGGGAGCAAACAGGAUUAGAUACCCCUGUAGUC